Molecule: ribosomal RNA, 1435 nt
Filed under: Maribacter sp.
Lineage: Bacteria; Pseudomonadati; Bacteroidota; Flavobacteriia; Flavobacteriales; Flavobacteriaceae
Description: bacterial SSU rRNA
Rfam family: Bacterial small subunit ribosomal RNA
Source: RNAcentral
GGGGGAGGGCGGGCCUACCAGUGCAGUCGAGGGGUAACGGGAGCUUGCUCCGCUGACGACCGGCGCACGGGUGCGCACCGCGUAUGGAACCUACCUUCUACAGGGGAAUAGCCCAGGGAAACUUGGAUUAAUGCCCCGUGGUACCGUUGAUCGGCAUCGACCAACGGUUAAAGCCUUCGGGCGGUAGAAGAUGGCCAUGCGUCCCAUUAGUUUGUUGGUAAGGUAACGGCUUACCAAGACUACGAUGGGUAGGGGCCCUGAGAGGGGGAUCCCCCACACUGGUACUGAGACACGGACCAGACUCCUACGGGAGGCAGCAGUGAGGAAUAUUGGACAAUGGAGGAGACUCUGAUCCAGCCAUGCCGCGUGCAGGAAGAAUGCCCUAUGGGUAGUAAACUGCUUUUAUACGGGAAGAAAAAAGGGUACGUGUACCUUACUGACGGUACCGUAAGAAUAAGGACCGGCUAACUCCGUGCCAGCAGCCGCGGUAAUACGGAGGGUCCGAGCGUUAUCCGGAAUUAUUGGGUUUAAAGGGUCCGUAGGCGGGCAGUUAAGUCAGUGGUGAAAGUCUGUAGCUCAACUAUAGAAUUGCCUUUGAUACUGAUUGUCUUGAGUUAUAGUGAAGUUGCCGGAAUAUGUAGUGUAGCGGGUGAAAUGCAUAGAUAUUACAUAGAACACCGAUUGCGAAGGCAGGUGACUAACUAUAUACUGACGCUGAUGGACGAAAGCGUGGGGAGCGAACAGGAUUAGAUACCCUGGUAGUCCACGCCGUAAACGAUGGAUACUAGCUGUCCGGGUCCUUGAGACCUGGGCGGCCAAGCGAAAGUGAUAAGUAUCCCACCUGGGGAGUACGUUCGCAAGAAUGAAACUCAAAGGAAUUGACGGGGGCCCGCACAAGCGGUGGAGCAUGUGGUUUAAUUCGAUGAUACGCGAGGAACCUUACCAGGGCUUAAAUGCAUAUUGACAGGGGUAGAGAUACCUUUUCCUUCGGGCAAUUUGCAAGGUGCUGCAUGGUUGUCGUCAGCUCGUGCCGUGAGGUGUCAGGUUAAGUCCUAUAACGAGCGCAACCCCUACCGUUAGUUGCCAGCAUGUCAUGAUGGGGACUCUAACGGGACUGCCGGUGCAAACCGUGAGGAAGGUGGGGAUGACGUCAAAUCAUCACGGCCCUUACGUCCUGGGCCACACACGUGCUACAAUGGCAGGUACAGAGAGCAGCCACGUCGCAAGGCGGAGCGAAUCUAUAAAACCUGUCACAGUUCGGAUCGGGGUCUGCAACUCGACCCCGUGAAGCUGGAAUCGCUAGUAAUCGGAUAUCAGCCAUGAUCCGGUGAAUACGUUCCCGGGCCUUGUACACACCGCCCGUCAAGCCAUGGAAGCCGGGAGUGCCUGAAGUCCGUCACCGUAAGGAGCGCCCUAGGCAAGAUCCGGAUAUAAU